GAUUUCAGGACGAUGUUCCUCUGCGAUGGAGUACGAUUCUGGAAUUCCUAUGUCUGUGACGGAGGGACACUCCUCUGCCCUUACACCAUCCUUGCGCGAAGGUUCUCUUGCUAAUUUCGAUGCACUGUGGCAAAUGAACUUGGGAUCAGGUGAAAUAAUGGGAUCUGGAUCUUAUCCCGUGCGACCUGGAGAGCCAGACUGUUCUUAUUACAUCAGAACUGGCCUAUGUAGAUUUGGAGCUACA
Molecule: unclassified non-coding RNA, 244 nt
Filed under: Hevea brasiliensis (rubber tree)
Lineage: Eukaryota; Viridiplantae; Streptophyta; Magnoliopsida; Malpighiales; Euphorbiaceae
Source: RNAcentral